RNAcentral lists this ribosomal RNA (889 nucleotides) under uncultured bacterium. RNAcentral describes it as "bacterial SSU rRNA". It matches the Rfam family "Bacterial small subunit ribosomal RNA", at positions 51 to 933 of the family's 1533-position model. The record is from RNAcentral.
ACACAUGCAAGUCGAGGGGCAGCAUCAUCAAAGCUUGCUUUGAUGGAUGGCGACCGGCGCACGGGUGAGUAACACGUAUCCAACCUGCCGACAACACUGGGAUAGCCUUUCGAAAGAAAGAUUAAUACCGGAUGGUAUAGUUUUCCCGCAUGGGAUGAUUAUUAAAGAAUUUCGGUUGUCGAUGGGGAUGCGUUCCAUUAGGCAGUUGGCGGGGUAACGGCCCACCAAACCUACGAUGGAUAGGGGUUCUGAGAGGAAGGUCCCCCACAUUGGAACUGAGACACGGUCCAAACUCCUACGGGAGGCAGCAGUGAGGAAUAUUGGUCAAUGGACGAGAGUCUGAACCAGCCAAGUAGCGUGAAGGAUGACUGCCCUAUGGGUUGUAAACUUCUUUUAUACGGGAAUAAAGUGAGCCACGUGUGGCUUUUUGUAUGUACCGUAUGAAUAAGGAUCGGCUAACUCCGUGCCAGCAGCCGCGGUAAUACGGAGGAUCCGAGCGUUAUCCGGAUUUAUUGGGUUUAAAGGGAGCGUAGGCGGGUUGUUAAGUCAGUUGUGAAAGUUUGCGGCUCAACCGUAAAAUUGCAGUUGAUACUGGCGACCUUGAGUGCAACAGAGGUAGGCGGAAUUCGUGGUGUAGCGGUGAAAUGCUUAGAUAUCACGAAGAACUCCGAUUGCGAAGGCAGCUUACUGGAUUGUAACUGACGCUGAUGCUCGAAAGUGCGGGUAUCAAACAGGAUUAGAUACCCUGGUAGUCCACACAGUAAACGAUGAAUACUCGCUGUUGGCGAUAUACAGUCAGCGGCCAAGCGAAAGCAUUAAGUAUUCCACCUGGGGAGUACGCCGGCAACGGUGAAACUCAAAGGAAUUGACGGGGGCCCGCACAAGCGGA